AAGCUCGUAGUUGAAUUUCGGGAUCAAUAUACCGGUCGUGCCUCAGGUAUGAACUGGUCUUAUUGGUUUCUCCCUUCUGACGAAUCAUGAUGUCAUUAAUUUGAUGUCGUGGAGAAUCAGAACUGUUACUUUGAAAAAAUUAGAGUGUUUAAAGCAGGCUAACGCUUGAAUACAUUAGCAUGGAAUAAUGAAAUAGGACGUUCGAUCCUAUUUUGUUGGUUUCUAGGAUCGACGUAAUGAUUAAUAGGGAUAGUUGGG
Molecule: ribosomal RNA, 258 nt
Filed under: uncultured Glomeromycotina
Lineage: Eukaryota; Fungi; Glomeromycota
Description: partial 18S ribosomal RNA
Rfam family: Eukaryotic small subunit ribosomal RNA
Source: RNAcentral